Molecule: ribosomal RNA, 902 nt
Filed under: Staphylococcus pseudintermedius
Lineage: Bacteria; Bacillati; Bacillota; Bacilli; Caryophanales; Staphylococcaceae
Description: partial 23S ribosomal RNA
Rfam family: Bacterial large subunit ribosomal RNA
Source: RNAcentral
GGCGGCCGUAACUAUAACGGUCCUAAGGUAGCGAAAUUCCUUGUCGGGUAAGUUCCGACCCGCACGAAAGGCGUAACGAUUUGGGCACUGUCUCAACGAGAGACUCGGUGAAAUCAUAGUACCGGUGAAGAUGCCGGUUACCCGCGACAGGACGGAAAGACCCCGUGGAGCUUUACUGUAGCCUGAUAUUGAAAUUCGGUACAGUUUGUACAGGAUAGGUAGGAGCCUUAGAAGCGUGAGCGCUAGCUUACGUGGAGGCAUUGGUGGGAUACUACCCUAAUUGUAUUGGAUUUCUAACCCGCAGCACUUAUCGUGCUGGGAGACAGUGUCAGGCGGGCAGUUUGACUGGGGCGGUCGCCUCCUAAAGAGUAACGGAGGCGCUCAAAGGUUCCCUCAGAAUGGUUGGAAAUCAUUCAUAGAGUGUAAAGGCAUAAGGGAGCUUGACUGCGAGACCUACAAGUCGAGCAGGGUCGAAAGACGGACUUAGUGAUCCGGUGGUUCCGCAUGGAAGGGCCAUCGCUCAACGGAUAAAAGCUACCCCGGGGAUAACAGGCUUAUCUCCCCCAAGAGUUCACAUCGACGGGGAGGUUUGGCACCUCGAUGUCGGCUCAUCGCAUCCUGGGGCUGUAGUCGGUCCCAAGGGUUGGGCUGUUCGCCCAUUAAAGCGGUACGCGAGCUGGGUUCAGAACGUCGUGAGACAGUUCGGUCCCUAUCCGUCGUGGGCGUAGGAAAUUUGAGAGGAGCUGUCCUUAGUACGAGAGGACCGGGAUGGACAUACCUCUGGUGUACCAGUUGUCGUGCCAACGGCAUAGCUGGGUAGCUAUGUAUGGACGGGAUAAGUGCUGAAAGCAUCUAAGCAUGAAGCCCCCCUCGAGAUGAGAUUUCCCAACUUCGGUUAUAAG